Molecule: ribosomal RNA, 254 nt
Filed under: uncultured bacterium
Lineage: Bacteria
Description: partial 16S ribosomal RNA
Rfam family: Bacterial small subunit ribosomal RNA
Source: RNAcentral
UACGUAGGGGGCAAGCGUUGUCCGGAAUCAUUGGGCGUAAAGGGCGCGUAGGUGGCUUCUUAAGCGUGCGGUGAAAGCCUGGGGCUCAACCCCGGGUCGGCCGUGCGAACUGGGGGGGCUGGAGCACUGUAGAGGCAGGCGGAAUUCCGGGUGUAGCGGUGGAAUGCGUAGAGAUCCGGAAGAACACCGGUGGCGAAGGCGGCCUGCUGGGCAGUUGCUGACACUGAGGCGCGACAGCAUGGGGAGCAAACAGG